AUGGGACUCGUGGGACGGCGCACGGGUGAGUAACGCGUGGGAUGUACCCUUUAGUACGGAAUAGCCUCGGGAAACUGGGAUUAAUACCGUAUACGCCCUUCGGGGGAAAGAUUUAUCGCUAAAGGAUCAGCCUGCGUGACAUUAGCUAGUUGGUAAGGUAAUGGCUUACCAAGGCAACGAUGUCUAGCUGGUCUGAGAGGAUGAUCAGCCACACUGGAACUGAGACACGGUCCAGACUCCUACGGGAGGCAGCAGUGAGGAAUAUUGGGCAAUGGGCGAAAGCCUGACCCAGCCAUGCCGCGUGUGUGAUGAAGGCCCUAGGGUUGUAAAGCACUUUCAUUGGUGAAGAUAAUGACGGUAACCAAAGAAGAAGCCCCGGCUAACUUCGUGCCAGCAGCCGCGGUAAUACGAAGGGGGCUAGCGUUGUUCGGAAUCACUGGGCGUAAAGCGCGUGUAGGCGGAUAUGUAAGCUAGGGGUGAAAUCCCGGGGCUCAACCUCGGAACUGCCUUUAGAACUGCAUAUCUAGAAUCUCGGAGGGGAUAGGGGAAUUCCUAGUGUAGAGGUGAAAUUCGUAGAUACUAGGAGGAACACCGGUGGCGAAGGCGCCUAUCUGGACGAGCAUUGACGCUGAGACGCGAAAGCGUGGGGA
This 650-nucleotide ribosomal RNA is filed under the name uncultured bacterium. Its description in RNAcentral is "bacterial SSU rRNA". It matches the Rfam family "Bacterial small subunit ribosomal RNA", at positions 81 to 767 of the family's 1533-position model. The record is from RNAcentral.